CCAUGACACACAUCCUUUAAAUACCCUAGUCAGGCAAUUGGGCAGUAGCCAUCUACAGAAGCCUCCAGGGGAGAAACUAAUAGACUUAUUUAAUGUUUAUUUGUUUUGCUUCUGUUGGUUAUUAUUCAUUUUGUUCUACUUUUGAUGUUUUUUCUUUUCCACUAAGAGACCAAGGUCCAGGUAAUCAGCAGCAGGUAGGACUAGGCUUUUAACAAUCAGAGUGUAGCCACUUGUGUAUUACCUACACCAGGGGUCGGCAACCUUUUCCACUCUAAGAGCCAUUUGGAUCAGUUUCCCACAAAAAUUAAAACACAGGGAGCCACAACUCCCUUUGGUGUCACGGUACCCCCAGUGGGCCCCUCCUCCUCAUCAGGUUCACCUGAGGACACCAGCUGCGCCUCCUCCUCAUCAUCAGCCGGUGGGCUCUUAAGGAGAACCAGGACCUGUACUCGACGCUAGUUCGUUGUACUCCACGGAUCACGACCACAUCUGUCACGCUCUGGACUCUGACUCACCUUCCCUCUGGUCCCUCCUCGUCGCCCCUCUGGACAUCCUCCUGGAAACACGGUGUUCGCCGCCAAGACCCUCCAACCAUCCUCAAAACGUUCUCACCUGGAACUCUGUCCUAACUCCAUUAAAUCCAUUACUACUCAUCCUCCUCGCCUGCCGAGUAUUCCUUCCGGGUUCCAGCAUCUGGGUCUGCCACAGUCUCGCUAGUCAUGACAUUUGGGAAAACUCAGUGUUUCCAGUCAACGGCAUCAUUUCUCUCGUUUUUAAAGUUGGUGGAGAUGUUCAUAUUUUUUUGUAUCCUCUGUUAUUCAAUGGGUUCUGAUGAGAACAUUUUCCCAAAAGGCCAGAAAACUGGCAAACAUGUCAUGAUUAACCUGCAGUAAAUCCGCUUCUCCAAUAGAUUUUUGUCAACAAACAACUUUUUUCUCAUCUCGAUCAGGAUGUUUUGGGACAAAAGCUGCGUGUUUAUUCUGGGAUGUCUCGCUGCAUUUGAGACUUUGUUUACUAAUUUCUCAUUACAUUUAAAUUGUUCUGGUAAAGUCGUUGAAAGCGAACAAAUCUGCCCAGGGGCCAUUAAACUUACUGUUUUCUUCGGGAACUUCAAUUUUCUCCAGAUUCUCCCUCCUUGUCCUGCCUGGCUCGGAACAUUGUUGGGAUUACACGCCAGCGGGAGUCGUGGCGGUGACGUCAGCCGAUAGUCACAUAGAACUUUACUUAGAAAAUGUCUACAUUUACAUUUUAUUUUUUUGACCUAAUACUCAGCCCUUUAGUUUUUUGUUUUGCAGACACGCCCCCUCUGCGCGUUCAUGCUGCUGUCUUCUUCCUGCCCGCUGGCACAUCCCAACAGGGUUAAAGGCACCACAACAACCUUCAAACCUAAUAGCUAUAAUACAAAACCACAAAGAGCCGCAGCACAGGGAUAAAAGAGCCACAUACCGCAUACACUUACCAUACUUAACAAUGGUACUUUCCAUUUUCAUGGCGUCCCAUAAGGUGGCCGCACAAGCCACAAGGGGAACUGCAAGAAACACCUGCGCUCCCUUAAGAUGUAGCAGCACUUGUCUAUGACCCUCUACGGACUCGGACAAUCCAAAAACCUGCUGCACCUGUACGAGUCAACCCGCCACACAGGCGCACGUGACUAGGGCUUAAGGGAAGGCAGCAUUAUUUGAAUGUGUUUGCAUAAACCAGGGGAGUUUAAGGUGCGUCACAGGGGACAACCAAGCUAAUUCUGUUAAAUACAUCUUGACUGCUUGUAAGUCCAGAGUUUUGUCUUGUGCUGUUUAUUUUAUGUUCCAUGUCAAGCUGUAUAAG
Molecule: non-coding RNA, 1824 nt
Organism: Oryzias latipes (Japanese medaka)
Lineage: Eukaryota; Metazoa; Chordata; Actinopteri; Beloniformes; Adrianichthyidae
Source: RefSeq, a predicted model, not a curated record